RNAcentral lists this ribosomal RNA (716 nucleotides) under uncultured bacterium. RNAcentral describes it as "bacterial SSU rRNA". It matches the Rfam family "Bacterial small subunit ribosomal RNA", at positions 26 to 775 of the family's 1533-position model. The record is from RNAcentral.
AGAGCGAACGCUGGCGGCAGGCCUAACACAUGCAAGUCGAACGAACUCUUCGGAGUUAGUGGCGGACGGGAGAGUAACACGUGGGAACGUGCCUUUAGGUUCGGAAUAACUCAGGGAAACUUGUGCUAAUACCGAAUGUGCCCCCCGAUUCAUUUUGGGGUGGGAAAGAUUUAUCGCCUUUAGAGCGGCCCGCGUCUGAUUAGCUAGUUGGUGAGGUAAAGGCUCACCAAGGCGACGAUCAGUAGCUGGUCUGAGAGGAUGAUCAGCCACAUUGGGACUGAGACACGGCCCAAACUCCUACGGGAGGCAGCAGUGGGGAAUCUUGCGCAAUGGGCGAAAGCCUGACGCAGCCAUGCCGCGUGAAUGAUGAAGGUCUUAGGAUUGUAAAAUUCUUUCACCGGGGACGAUAAUGACGGUACCCGGAGAAGAAGCCCCGGCUAACUUCGUGCCAGCAGCCGCGGUAAUACGAAGGGGGCUAGCGUUGCUCAGAAUUACUGGGCGUAAAGGGAGCGUAGGCGGACAUUUAAGUCAGGGGUGAAAUCCCGGGGCUCAACCUCGGAACUGCCUUUGAUACUGGGUGUCUUGAGUAUGAGAGAGGUGUGUGGAACUCCGAGUGUAGAGGUGAAAUUCGUAGAUAUUCGGAAGAACACCAGUGGCGAAGGCGACACACUGGCUCAUUACUGACGCUGAGGCUCGAAAGCGUGGGGAGCAAACAG